GUCGAGAAUAAUUCACAAUGGGGGAAACCCUGAUGGUGCAACGCCGCGUGGAGGAUGAAGGUCUUCGGAUUGUAAACUCAUGUCAUCUGGGAGUAAGACCUGACGGUGAAUAGCCGGCAGGGUUGAUAGUACCAGAAGAGGAAGGGACGGCUAACUUCGUGCCAGCAGCCGCGGUAAUACGAAGGUCCCAAGCGUUGUUCGGAAUCACUGGGCGUAAAGGGAGCGUAGGCUGCGCGGUAAGUCAGGUGUGAAAUCCCGGGGCUCAACCCCGGAACUGCACCCGAUACUGCCGUGCUAGAGGGUUGGAGAGGUGACUGGAAUUCUCGGUGUAGCAGUGAAAUGCGUGGAUAUCGAGAGGAACACUCGUGGCGAAGGCGAGUCACUGGACAACAUCUGACGCUGAGGCUCGAAGGCCAGGGGAGCAAAAGGGAUUAGAUACCCCUGUAGUCC
This 450-nucleotide ribosomal RNA is filed under the name uncultured bacterium. RNAcentral describes it as "partial 16S ribosomal RNA". It matches the Rfam family "Bacterial small subunit ribosomal RNA", at positions 354 to 796 of the family's 1533-position model. The record is from RNAcentral.